RNAcentral lists this ribosomal RNA (336 nucleotides) under Triticum aestivum (bread wheat). Its description in RNAcentral is "partial small subunit ribosomal RNA". Lineage: Eukaryota; Viridiplantae; Streptophyta; Magnoliopsida; Poales; Poaceae. The record is from RNAcentral.
AUGGGGAGAACAUGUGUUUAUGUUCAUCAUGUGGAUAAAGAGGCCUUUUUGAAAGGCAAUGUUGAGACGGACCCGGAUGAGCUUGACAUGGUGUUUGAGAGUAGUCCUAGCUAUGCGGAGCUUUUGAAACAAGUGAGGAAAGAUUUGAAUUGGAUGGACCCAAGUGACGUUGUUGAGUUCGAGGGAAGGCAUAAUGUUGGUUUAGGAAUGCACAUCCGUUGGAAGACAAUGCGUGUGAAUUCCGAGCAACGUUGGGUUGCAUACAAGGAGACGGUUGAGUCUACUUUGACAAGGCUCUUGAGUUAUUUGCCUCCAAGAAGGUUGAGUCUACUUUGA